CACAAAACUCACAUCACAGGGAGGCUCAGUGAAAAAGUUUGUAGAGGUCUUAAGUGAGAACUGACAAUUUCAGAAGUUGUCUUACAGGGCCACACAGGUGCCCUGGGGAAUGGCGCCAGUUUGGUUCCCAUUUUGUCAUUUUCGAUGAGACUCCAUGAUCUUGGGCGGAUGUGGAGUACAAGAGCUGGUCCUGGACUGAUGGCUCUGGAUUUAAUUACCGACAGUGGGCAGAAGGAAUGCCUAACAACUCUAUUGCUGGACAGUCGUGUAUUCAGAUGAAUACUGGAGAUAAACAUCGCUGGAACAAUGAAGUCUGUGAAAAGCCCUUUGCUUCUGUCUACUCACAAAGCGAUUGAAAUCAAUUGUUGCUGUC
Long non-coding RNA from Esox lucius (northern pike), 373 nucleotides. RefSeq lists it as uncharacterized. NCBI's taxonomy places the organism in Eukaryota, Metazoa, Chordata, Actinopteri, Esociformes, Esocidae. The record is from RefSeq and is a predicted model, not a curated record. The transcript has 4 exons.